ACGUAGGGUGCAAGCGUUAAUCGGAAUUACUGGGCGUAAAGCGUGCGCAGGCGGUUAUGUAAGACAGAGGUGAAAUCCCCGGGCUCAACCUGGGAACUGCCUUUGUGACUGCAUAGCUAGAGUACGGUAGAGGGGGAUGGAAUUCCGCGUGUAGCAGUGAAAUGCGUAGAUAUGCGGAGGAACACCGAUGGCGAAGGCAAUCCCCUGGACCUGUACUGACGCUCAUGCACGAAAGCGUGGGGAGCAAACAGGAUUAGAUACCCUGGUAGUCCACGCCCUAAACGAUGUCAACUGGUUGUUGGGUCUUCACUGACUCAGUAACGAAGCUAACGCGUGAAGUUGACCGCCUGGGGGGUACGGCCGCAAGGUUG
RNAcentral lists this ribosomal RNA (371 nucleotides) under uncultured bacterium. RNAcentral's name for it is "bacterial SSU rRNA". It matches the Rfam family "Bacterial small subunit ribosomal RNA", at positions 525 to 896 of the family's 1533-position model. The record is from RNAcentral.